CCUACGGGUGGCAGCAGUGAGGAAUAUUGGUCAAUGGACGAGAGUCUGAACCAGCCAAGUAGCGUGAAGGAUGACUGCCCUAUGGGUUGUAAACUUCUUUUAUAUGGGAAUAAAACGUUCCACGUGUGGGAUUUUGUAUGUACCAUAUGAAUAAGGAUCGGCUAACUCCGUGCCAGCAGCCGCGGUAAUACGGAGGAUCCGAGCGUUAUCCGGAUUUAUUGGGUUUAAAGGGAGCGUAGGUGGAUUGUUAAGUCAGUUGUGAAAGUUUGCGGCUCAACCGUAAAAUUGCAGUUGAAACUGGCAGUCUUGAGUACAGUAGAGGUGGGCGGAAUUCGUGGUGUAGCGGUGAAAUGCUUAGAUAUCACGAAGAACUCCUAUUGCGAAGGCAGUUCACUGGACUGCAACUGACACUGAGGCUCGAAAGUGUGGGUAUCAAACAGGAUUAGAUACCCUAGUAGUC
Molecule: ribosomal RNA, 460 nt
Filed under: uncultured bacterium
Lineage: Bacteria
Description: partial 16S ribosomal RNA
Rfam family: Bacterial small subunit ribosomal RNA
Source: RNAcentral